UACGUAGGGUCCGAGCGUUGUCCGGAAUUAUUGGGCGUAAAGGGCUCGUAGGCGGUUCGUCACGUCGGGAGUGAAAACUCGGAGCUUAACCCCGAGCCUGCUUCCGAUACGGGCAGACUAGAGGUAUGCAGGGGAGAAUGGAAUUCCUGGUGUAGCGGUGAAAUGCGCAGAUAUCAGGAGGAACACCGGUGGCGAAGGCGGUUCUCUGGGCAUUACCUGACGCUGAGGAGCGAAAGUGUGGGGAGCGAACAGG
Molecule: ribosomal RNA, 253 nt
Filed under: uncultured bacterium
Lineage: Bacteria
Description: partial 16S ribosomal RNA
Rfam family: Bacterial small subunit ribosomal RNA
Source: RNAcentral